RNAcentral lists this small RNA (779 nucleotides) under Rattus norvegicus (Norway rat). Its description in RNAcentral is "uncharacterized LOC102552044". Lineage: Eukaryota; Metazoa; Chordata; Mammalia; Rodentia; Muridae. The record is from RNAcentral.
GUUGCACCUGCAUCACAAACAAGCAGCCAACUACAAUUCCCAGCAGGCCGUGGUCCUGUAAACGCAGCCUCUCCUUGCGUUUAGUGACGAGUGCAUUCUGGAACUUGUAGUCUUUUUUUAAUACUAAGGGCCAGGCUCGAGAUUAUAUGUACAAAACUACUUAGCCAUCUGUACGCCUCUGUCAUCCCGGACUCUUCGUGUUAAGCAAACUCAGUGGAAGAAAUGUAACUUAGAUGUGAUGACUCGGUGUAUAGUACACGUAAAAGUCACUUAACCAGCCGCCUUCAUUUCCGCAACUGUCAAGAGUAGUUCGUGCUUACACUUAGGUAGUCGUUGCAAACUUAUAGAGCAGUGCGAGAAGCAAUCCCUUGUAGAGUGGACUGGCAGAGCCCGAGGAAAAUAUGUCGCUUUAAUCGACUCAGACCCAGACCCUGCGAGUCGGAUUGUUUGAACUUCUGGGGACGAGUGGUCCGCUCCUCAUCCUCUCCGCCGCCCCCCAACACCUGUCGCCUGCUGCCUCGCGGUGGCGCUGCUUCCUGCACUGAACUGGCUAGCGGGUCCUGCUGUGUUUAAACAAGACCUGGAAUAAUUGAAUGGAACGAUAAAGUACGAUGCAAACGUCCAGGACUGGUGAGGCUCAGAACUAAUGGAGACCACCCGUGGAGAUGACCUUGUUCACCCCAGAGACUGAAGAGAGGCUUCCUGAGCUCUGAGGUUCCAGGCCCUGUUCCUGAAGCCUAGCAGCUACACGGAGGCCCCUUGGCAGCCGCAGGCUGGCU